UACGUAGGUGGCAAGCGUUGUCCGGAUUUACUGGGUGUAAAGGGCGUGCAGCCGGGCUGACAAGUCAGAUGUGAAAUCCCGCGGCUCAACCGCGGAACUGCAUUUGAAACUGUCAGUCUUGAGUACCGGAGAGGUCAUCGGAAUUCCUUGUGUAGCGGUGAAAUGCGUAGAUAUAAAGAAGAACACCAGUGGCGAAGGCGGAUGACUGGACGGCAACUGACGGUGAGGCGCGAAAGCGUGGGGAGCAAACAGG
This 253-nucleotide ribosomal RNA is filed under the name uncultured bacterium. RNAcentral's name for it is "partial 16S ribosomal RNA". It matches the Rfam family "Bacterial small subunit ribosomal RNA", at positions 524 to 776 of the family's 1533-position model. The record is from RNAcentral.